GUGAGUCAUCGAAUCUUUGAACGCACAUUGCGCCCCUUGGCAUUCCGAGGGGCAUGCCCGUUCGAGCGUCAUUAUAACCCUCAAGCCUCGCUUGGUGUUGGGGCCUGCGGUCACCGGCAGCCCCUAAAAUCAGUGGCGGUGCCCGUCGGGCUCUGAGCGUAGUACUCCUUCUCGCUACAGGGCCCUGGUGGGUGCUGGCCAUCAACCCCUACUUUCUGUGGUUGACCUCGGAUCGGGUAGGGAUACCCGCUGAACUUAAGCAUAUCAAUAAGCGGAGGA
This 279-nucleotide unclassified non-coding RNA is filed under the name Leohumicola sp. RNAcentral describes it as "partial contains 5.8S ribosomal RNA, internal transcribed spacer 2, and large subunit ribosomal RNA". The stretch from base 1 to 71 matches the Rfam family "5.8S ribosomal RNA", at positions 84 to 154 of the family's 154-position model. Lineage: Eukaryota; Fungi; Ascomycota; Leotiomycetes. The record is from RNAcentral.